GCCGCCGCCUCUGGUUCCUCUGGUUUCUCUCGAACUCUCUCAACCUCCGAAACCCUUCAAGUCUCCUACCCUCUCUCGACCCAAAAUCCACCAAAAUUCAUGGCUAAUCUAGCCAUGUAUGAUCUAUAUUCACCAUCUCCUACUCCUAUACGCCUGCUCACUGGUGAAUCGAGGCUAGACCUCGAAGGUCUUCCUCCAUACCUUGGCCGAUUCGAGAUUCCUUGGUCGUUUCCGGCUUGCUCCGGCAUCUCUCAACCACCUGAGUCUGGGUUCGACUUUAGCAGCUUAGUACCAUUCUCGAGACUUCCAAGCCUUCUCAUCCUUUUGGGUUCUCAGAAACCCUAGCCUAAUCGAGGUUCCUUUUUUGCUUAUCCUUUUAGAUCUGUGUUAGAACUAUGCUAAAUUUGACGAUUUGAGUAUUUUCCCUAAAUUUCCUUUUUAAAAUCAUUGGUUUUUCAAAAUUUGGAUUUCUGCGGGUCUUCUGAUUAUUGCUUUUCUUUUCUUAUAGAUGUUUUUCUGUAGUAUACUUGUAUGUUUUCCUCCUCCAUUAUGCAUGUAUUGUCUGCUCACCUGAUUAGUCUUUUUUUCUUCAUUCUUCUACCAUGCGUGUUUACUAAUGUGUUUCUCAAAUGUUUUGCUUUUUUAAACUAUAUUCGUGUUCUUGUCAAACAUGCUUCAUAUGUUCUGUUUAAACCCCCAUCUUUUCUUAAGUUCAGAAGUUGUUUGAACAUGUUUUUUUUCACGCCUUAAAAUGGUUUUUCUUUCCUUGAUUGUUUCUGUAUUUGCCUGAUUCUCACGAGACUCCUUGAGUCUAUUCACUUGCCUUUUCGUUUCUGUGUUUGAUUCGAUGGGAAACACUAGAAUUUGGGAGUUUUUCUUGGUAAAUCGAAUUAGGGUUUCACUUUGGAGACCCUAUAUCUCAGACUCACUAUGAGUCUCUUGGUGAACUCAUAUUCUUUUGUUUAUGAUUUUGAGCACUUCAAUGCUAGACCCUUCUGUUUGAAGUGGUUGUUUAUAUGCGAGAAACCCCCUCUUCCAAAGUUUUGGUGAUUGUUUAAUUGAUUUUGAAUCCCUUUGAUAGGGUCUUGACUAAUUGCCAUUGAUUUUCUUUGGUUAAGUCCUCUUUAGGUAUUUCUGGUUUGGUUUAUUCGAUUUAAAACCCGUCAUGUUGAUGUUGUUAAUUGUUUGAUUGAUUCCUUUUCCUUUUUUCUUUGCAAAUCAAGUACUAUUGAACUCUUUCCUUAAAUAAGUCUCAUGUAUUAUCCCCUCUUGUGCUGCUGUGAAGGACUUUGCUGAAAUUCCCUUUCCUUAAUUACAUGCUCCCGUUUGAAAUUAAAUCCCUUGACUAAAGGGAGAAUAUUUGAGAUUGAUUUUUAAAGUUUUCAUACCUUUCUUAUUUGCUGCUCUACACAAUAUAAAAGGCUUAGCCCUCAUAUUUACAAACACACACAAGAACAGUAGUAACGAAUAAAAGAGUAAUAACCAAGCAAUAGGCAGUCUAUUUUCCUACUCUCUUCUUCUCCCACCAUACAGACCAGUUCUAUUUUCUAUUGCUUUCUUCUGAAAAACCUUUAAUUUCUUCUAAUAUCCUCGAGUGUUCUGCUGAAAUUCUAAGUUGGUUCUGCUGUUUUCUUGCAGUGGCUACUCUGCUGUUCUCUUUCUAUUACUUUGCAACUGGUAGGUCCAUCUUAUUAUAAUAUUGC
Molecule: long non-coding RNA, 1703 nt
Filed under: Nicotiana benthamiana
Lineage: Eukaryota; Viridiplantae; Streptophyta; Magnoliopsida; Solanales; Solanaceae
Description: long non-coding RNA (NBEN_LNC019442)
Source: RNAcentral